ACGCUCGACACCUACGGGAGGCCGCAGUUGGGAAUAUUGGACAAUGGAGGAAACUCUGAUCCAGUGACGCCGCGUGAAGGAAGAAGGUCUUCGGAUUGUAAACUUAUUUUGUCAGGGAAGAAAAAAUGACUGUACCUGAAGAAAAAGCACCGGCUAACUACGUACCAGCAGCCGCGGUAAUCUGAGCGGGCUGGCAAGGC
Molecule: ribosomal RNA, 200 nt
Filed under: uncultured bacterium
Lineage: Bacteria
Description: partial 16S ribosomal RNA
Rfam family: Bacterial small subunit ribosomal RNA
Source: RNAcentral